Molecule: non-coding RNA, 509 nt
Organism: Streptomyces sp. NRRL F-6602
Lineage: Bacteria; Bacillati; Actinomycetota; Actinomycetes; Kitasatosporales; Streptomycetaceae
Source: Rfam
GUGAGGGUGUGCUCCCAGGUGCCGCUCUCGCCCGUCAGCCGGUCGUCGCCGAGGAAGUCGCCGUCCGCCAGGACACCGUGGGUGGUCUCCUCGUCGUACCGGCCGCGCGCGGUCCUGCGCAGCUUGCCGUGGGCGAUGAGCACCAGCCGGUCGGCGGGCUGCCCCUCCCGCACGAUGACCUCGCCCGGUCCGAAAUCGCGCUGCUCGCACCGGGACGCGAGGGCCUCGAGCACCUCCCGGUCCUCGUAGCCGCGCAGGGCCGGCAGUUCGGAGAGUUCCAGUGGGAUGACGCGGACCUCGGAGCCGGUGGAGACGAAUUCCACCCUGCCGUCCCCCAGGGUGUGGCUGAGGCGCCGGUUGACCCGGAAAGUGCCGCCGGUCACCUGGACCCAGGGCAGCACCUUGAGCAGCCACCGGGAGGUGAUGCCCUGCAUCUGCGGAGGGGUUUUGGUGGUGGUCGCGAGAUUCCGGGCCGCCGCUGUCGCGAGGCUCUGCUGCGCCUGCGCCGG